GUUGCUGCUGCGACGCCGAGGACGAGCCGGCGGUCAGGCCGUCCAGCACCUUCCUGAUGUUGAAUUUCCUCAUGGUCUCGGAGGGGCUCCCCCGCAGCCCGGGAGGGGAGGCACAGGGGGUCCCCGGGCGGGGGAGACCACCCGGGGCCGAAGGCAGCUUCGACCGCGGAAACGGAGGAGUGGGAGUGUGAGGAGAAAUAUGCAAUGAUGACAUUUCCAAGAAGUGAUGGCAUCUGGCGCUAAGGACAAAGAAUGGGAUUUUGCCACAGGGAUCUUAUUCUCCCACAUGUUCUGUCUGAAGGAGAAAGUUAUCUGAGGCCUUAUAUGAUGCAAAACUUUGGACUCAAAGAAAUUAAAUCACUUGCCCAAGGUUACAUAGCUGGUGAAAUGUUGGUGCCAAAUGAACUUUUCUGGUUCUUCUGAAUAUGCCACUGUUGCUGGAGAAAUGUCACUGCUAGAGAACAGAAGACUAUUAUUCCAAAGGGUAUUUGAGACUGACUGAAUCAGGUCUGGAACAUUAUUGAAAUGAGACCCACAAAAGAAGAGAUACUGAGAUCAUUUGCUCCAGAAGAAGCUGGUUGCCAUGUCUUGAGGACAGUAAACCCUCUGGGGAGGUUCCUGUGGUAAGGAACAAGGGCUCCUGGCAAUAGCCUCUGAGUGAGCCACCUUGAAAAUGGAUUGUCCAGCCCCAGUCAAGCUUUCAGAUGACUGUAGCUCCUGCCAAUGUCUUCACCACAACCUCAUGAGAUCCCAAGCUACAACCACUCAGAACUUCAUCUUUUGGGAAGCACCAGGGAGAGCUGCCUGUGCCUGGCAGAAGCUGCCCAUGCCCCACUGAUACCCCACAGUACUUCCUGUUCUGCUUAGUACUCCUGCUUCUUUCUACAAACAACUGUGAUUCUCUACCUGGGAGCUUCCUCUGGCCACAGGAGCCUGCUCACCUGAUUGGGACACCCUAGCAGUACUGGCUCAUAGAUGGAAGGGACUUGCCUUGUCGCUGAUGAGACUUUCGACUUGGACUUUUGAGUCAAUGCUGGAAUGAGUUAAGACUUUGGGGAACUGUUGGAAGGGUGUGAUUGUGUUUUGAAUUGUGAGGACAUGAGAUUUUGAAGAGGCUAAUGGCAGCGUCCCCACCUAAAUCUCUUCUUGAAUUGUAGUUCCCAUAAUCCCCACGUGUCGUGGGGUGGAGCCGGUGGAGAUAAUUGAAUCAUGGGAACACUUUCCCCCAUGCUGUUAUUGUGAUUGUGAAUUCUCACGAGAUCUGAUGGUUGUAUAAACGCCUUCCCUCUUCGCUGGGCACUCAUUUUUCUCCUUCCUGCCACCAUGUGAAGAAGGAUAUGCUUGCUUCUUGUGCCAUGAUUACAAGAACACACUCAGAAAUUUUCUCAACACAGUUUCUAUGCAGAGAAGAGAUGUGGGACAGAUUUGAACUGCUGUCAUAUUUGUAUGAACCCAAGACAUUUUCCAAGACCAAGAGGGAUAAAGACAGCAAUUUCUAUGACUGGCAUUUUACGUGCAUGCACUGUUUCCAAGUGUUCUUGUGUUCUGUGCCUUAAACAUUCUGUGUUGCAACUUUAUGAAUUGAAUUAAAGAUAAUCCCAAGCCCCCAAUUGUCUCAAAAAGUGAAAAAGUAAAUGUUAUAGAAAGAAAAGCGGGAAAAACUUUAAGCAUGAAAUAAAAGAUGGGUUGUGAUAAAAGAGGACUGAAGAAGGAAAAGGAAUGAAAGGUUCUGCCAUCCUUCAUGGCAGCCCACUCCACUUGGUAUGAGAUACUGCUCCCUUGGCUGAAAGUUAACUGCUGUACUCCCUCCACUUUCUAUAAAUGACUCCCUGUGCCUUUCCUUCACCACACAACUCACACUCUCUUCCUUCCUAGUGAGUCCACUAAGGCUUCACUGCAUUAUUACAUUUAUUUCAUUUAGGAAAAACUGACUUUAUUUUCCUUCAAAUUGUUUUUUAUUGUUUAUAUGAGCU
Molecule: long non-coding RNA, 1973 nt
Filed under: Homo sapiens (human)
Lineage: Eukaryota; Metazoa; Chordata; Mammalia; Primates; Hominidae
Description: non-protein coding STXBP5-AS1:15
Source: RNAcentral